RNAcentral lists this ribosomal RNA (301 nucleotides) under uncultured bacterium. Its description in RNAcentral is "partial 16S ribosomal RNA". It matches the Rfam family "Bacterial small subunit ribosomal RNA", at positions 509 to 807 of the family's 1533-position model. The record is from RNAcentral.
CAGCAGCCACGGGAAUACGGAGGAUCCAAGCGUUAUCCGGAAUCAUUGGGUUUAAAGGGUCCGUAGGCGGUCUUGUAAGUCAGUGGUGAAAGCCCAUCGCUCAACGGUGGAACGGCCAUUGAUACUGCAGGACUUGAAUUAUUGGGAAGUAACUAGAAUAUGUAGUGUAGCGGUGAAAUGCUUAGAGAUUACAUGGAAUACCAAUUGCGAAGGCAGGUUACUACCAAUUGAUUGACGCUGAUGGACGAAAGCGUGGGUAGCGAACAGGAUUAGAUACCCGGGUAGUCCCUGUCUCUUAUAC